AGGAGGCAGCAGUGAGGAAUCUUGCACAAUGGGGGCAACCCUGAUGCAGCGACGCCGCGUGAGCGAUGAAGCCCUUCGGGGUGUAAAGCUCUUUCGGCAGGGACGAAUCAUGACGGUACCUGCAGAAGCAGCUGCGGCUAACUACGUGCCAGCAGCCGCGGUAAUACGUAGGCAGCAAGCGUUGUUCGGAGUUACUGGGCGUAAAGGGUGCGUAGGCGGUUCCUUAAGUUUGGUGUGAAAUCUCCCGGCUCAACUGGGAGGGUGCGCCGGAUACUGAGGGACUUGGAGUGCGGGAAGGGAGAGUGGAAUUCCUGGUGUAGCGGUGAAAUGCGUAGAUAUCAGGAGGAACACCGGUGGUGUAAACGGCUCUCUGGACCGUAACUGACGCUGAGGCACGAAAGCGUGGGUAGCAAACAGGAUUAGAUACCCUAGUAU
This 435-nucleotide ribosomal RNA is filed under the name uncultured bacterium. RNAcentral's name for it is "bacterial SSU rRNA". It matches the Rfam family "Bacterial small subunit ribosomal RNA", at positions 343 to 793 of the family's 1533-position model. The record is from RNAcentral.